RNAcentral lists this ribosomal RNA (468 nucleotides) under uncultured bacterium. Its description in RNAcentral is "partial 16S ribosomal RNA". It matches the Rfam family "Bacterial small subunit ribosomal RNA", at positions 28 to 507 of the family's 1533-position model. The record is from RNAcentral.
GACGAACGCUGGCGGCAUGCUUAACACAUGCAAGUCGAACGGAAAGGCCCUGCUUUUGUGGGGUGCUCGAGUGGCGAACGGGUGAGUAACACGUGAGUAACCUGCCCUUGGCUUUGGGAUAACUUCAGGAAACUGGGGCUAAUACCGGAUAGGAGCUCCUGCUGCAUGGUGGGGGUUGGAAAGUUUCGGCGGUUGGGGAUGGACUCGCGGCUUAUCAGCUUGUUGGUGGGGUAGUGGCUUACCAAGGCUUUGACGGGUAGCCGGCCUGAGAGGGUGACCGGCCACAUUGGGACUGAGAUACGGCCCAGACUCCUACGGGAGGCAGCAGUGGGGAAUAUUGCACAAUGGGCGGAAGCCUGAUGCAGCAACGCCGCGUGCGGGAUGACGGCCUUCGGGUUGUAAACCGCUUUCGCCUGUGACGAAGCGUGAGUGACGGUAAUGGGUAAAGAAGCACCGGCUAACUACGUG